GAUGAACGCUGGCGGUGUGCCUAAUACAUGCAAGUCGAGCGGUAAGGCUUUCACAGAUUAUUUAAACGGUUAAGUCCCUAGGGAUACUAACAAGACAACACAUACUCACUAGGCUAGUGAACAGUGGUUGAAUAAUGUGUGAAAGUACACGAGCGGCGGACGGCUGAGUAACGCGUAGGAACGUACCCCAAAGUGAGGGAUAAGCACCGGAAACGGUGUCUAAUACCGCAUGUGAUCUAAGGAUUAAAGCCUUCGGGCGCUUUGGGAGCGGCCUGCGUAUGAUUAGUUUGUUGGUGAGGUAAUGGCUCACCAAGACUACGAUCAUUAGCUGGUCUGAGAGGAUGAUCAGCCAGACUGGGACUGAGACACGGCCCAGACUCCUACGGGAGGCAGCAGUAGGGAAUUUUCCACAAUGGGCGAAAGCCUGAUGGAGCAACACCGCGUGCAGGAUGAAGGCCCUAGGGUCGUAAACUGCUUUUAUGAGUGAUAAUU
Molecule: ribosomal RNA, 492 nt
Filed under: uncultured bacterium
Lineage: Bacteria
Description: bacterial SSU rRNA
Rfam family: Bacterial small subunit ribosomal RNA
Source: RNAcentral